AUUGAACGCUGGCGGCAGGCCUAACACAUGCAAGUCGAACGAGUGGCGGACGGGUGAGUAAUGUCUGGGAAACUGCCCGAUGGAGGGGGAUAACUACUGGAAACGGUAGCUAAUACCGCAUACCAUCGGAUGUGCCCAGAUGGGAUUAACAAGUAGGUGGGGUAAAGGCUCACCGAGGCGACGCGCCCUAGCUGGUCUGAGAGGAUGACCAGCCACACUGGAACUGAGACACGGUCCAGACUCCGACGGUAGGCAGCAGUGGGGAAUAUUGCACAAUGGGCGCAAGCCUGAUGCAGCCAUGCCGCGUGUAUGAAGAAGGCCUUCGGGUUGUAAAGUACUUUCAGCGAGGAGGCGUUACUCGCAGAAGAAGCACCGGCUAACUCCGUGCCAGCAGCCGCGGUAAUUC
RNAcentral lists this ribosomal RNA (406 nucleotides) under uncultured bacterium. RNAcentral describes it as "partial 16S ribosomal RNA". It matches the Rfam family "Bacterial small subunit ribosomal RNA", at positions 30 to 526 of the family's 1533-position model. The record is from RNAcentral.